RNAcentral lists this ribosomal RNA (253 nucleotides) under uncultured bacterium. RNAcentral describes it as "partial 16S ribosomal RNA". It matches the Rfam family "Bacterial small subunit ribosomal RNA", at positions 524 to 776 of the family's 1533-position model. The record is from RNAcentral.
UACGUAGGGGGCGAGCGUUGUCCGGAGUUACUGGGCGUAAAGCGCACGCAGGCGGUCUGCUAAGUUUGGAGUGACAGUUGGUGGCUUAACUGCCAAAGUGCUUCGAAAACUGACAGACUUGAGGGCUUCAGAGGGACACGGAAUUCCGGGUGGAGUGGUGAAAUGCGUAGAGAUCCGGAGGAACACCAAAGGCGAAGGCAGUGUCCUGGGGAGUACCUGACGCUCAGGUGCGAAAGCCAGGGGAGCAAAGGGG